Molecule: ribosomal RNA, 253 nt
Filed under: uncultured bacterium
Lineage: Bacteria
Description: partial 16S ribosomal RNA
Rfam family: Bacterial small subunit ribosomal RNA
Source: RNAcentral
GACGAACCGUGCGAACGUUAUUCGGAAUCACUGGGCGUAAAGCGUACGUAGGCGGAUCGUUAAGUCAGGGGUGAAAGCCUGGAGCUCAACUCCAGAACUGCCUUUGAUACUGGCGAUCUUGAGACCGGGAGAGGUGAGUGGAACUGCUAGUGUAGAGGUGAAAUUCGUAGAUAUUAGCAAGAACACCAGUGGCGAAGGCGGCUCACUGGCCCGGUACUGACGCUGAGGUACGAAAGCGUGGGGAGCAAACAGG